This 362-nucleotide ribosomal RNA is filed under the name Ixodes ricinus (castor bean tick). Its description in RNAcentral is "partial 16S ribosomal RNA". The stretch from base 217 to 362 matches the Rfam family "Bacterial large subunit ribosomal RNA", at positions 2473 to 2619 of the family's 2925-position model. Lineage: Eukaryota; Metazoa; Arthropoda; Arachnida; Ixodida; Ixodidae. The record is from RNAcentral.
AAAAGCUUUCUUUAAUUGAAUAAUUGAAUUUAAUUUUUUAGUGCAAAAGCAAAAAUAAAAAUUAGGGACAAGAAGACCCUAUGAAUUUUUUUAUUAAAUUUUAUAAAACUUUAUAUAAAAUUUAAUUUAAUUGGGGUGAUGGAAAAAGAAUAAAUAUCUUUUUUUUUAAAAAAAUUGGUUCCGUUUUUAGCGAUUAAAUGAAAAAAAUACUCUAGGGAUAACAGCGUAAUAAUUUUGGAUAGUUCAUAUAGAUGAAAUAGUUUGCGACCUCGAUGUUGGAUUAGGAUUCUUUUUUGGUGAAGAAGUUAAAAAAAGAAGUUUGUUCAACUUAUAAUUUCCUACUUGAUCUGAGUUCAGACCGG